This 437-nucleotide ribosomal RNA is filed under the name uncultured bacterium. RNAcentral's name for it is "bacterial SSU rRNA". It matches the Rfam family "Bacterial small subunit ribosomal RNA", at positions 29 to 507 of the family's 1533-position model. The record is from RNAcentral.
AACGAACGCUGGCGGCAGGCUUAACACAUGCAAGUCGAACGCUCGUGGCAACACGGGAGUGGCGGACGGGUGAGUAACGCGUGGGAACGUGCCCUGAGGUUGGGAAUAACUGCGGGAAACUGCAGCUAAUACCUGAUGAGCCCCGAGAGGGGGAAAGAUUUAUCGCCUUGGGAGCGGCCCGCGUCGGAUUAGCUAGUUGGUGGGGUAACGGCCUACCAAGGCUUCGAUCCGUAGCUGGUCUGAGAGGACGAUCAGCCACACUGGGACUGAGACACGGCCCAGACUCCUACGGGAGGCAGCAGUGGGGAAUCUUGCGCAAUGGGGGCAACCCUGACGCAGCCAUGCCGCGUGAAUGAUGAAGGCCUUAGGGUUGUAAAGUUCUUUUGCCCGUGACGAUGAUGACGGUAACGGGAGAAUAAGCUCCGGCUAACUUCGUG